This 332-nucleotide long non-coding RNA is filed under the name Salvia miltiorrhiza (redroot sage). RNAcentral describes it as "long non-coding RNA (SMIL_LNC003836)". Lineage: Eukaryota; Viridiplantae; Streptophyta; Magnoliopsida; Lamiales; Lamiaceae. The record is from RNAcentral.
UUGGGAGUUAUGUGUUCAAAGUAUCAUCGGGGGAUGGUAUUUUUGCAUGUAAUCUACGGUUUGUAUUCCACGGGAGUGAGCAUAGACUUAAUUCGCAAUUGUCAUAGGAAGAACUAGCCCUGGAAUGAUUAAUCGAAUUGAAUUUAUCUUAUUUUCUGAAUUUUUUGAAAUCGAACCUCUAUGAUAUCUUUAUCUCCAUAUUUUCUCUUAUUUGCUAGCUUGUGUGAUUUUUUUUUCUUUUUUAUUUCAAUCGUGAAAGCCAACUCCAAUUUUUCUAUUAAUCCAGAUAGAGGAAUUUAGUUUAUAGUAGUACUCGCUAGGUGUCAAUCUUU